UUAAGAAAAAGAUAUUUUGGAUAAGUUGAAUUAAGAUAUAAUCAAUAGAAGAAUCAAGGCAUAAAGGAAAUUCUAAUUAAUUAAUAAACUUACCUUAACCAGUUUGUUUCGGCCAUUAGGAGAUUAUUAGUUAUCCAUUUAAGUUGUUUAACAAAUGUAAUAAGGAAACUAAAUUUAUCCUAGUGUUUACGUGUGCAAAGGAUAAAGUCUCUUUAUUAUAAUAAAUUAUUGGUUACUUGUAAUACUAAUCUACUUUAAUUAAGAUAGAAAUUAUUAUUCUUAAUCAUAUAGGAUUUGGAUUCUGAUAAAGUCUUCUAAUAAUUAUUGUAUUAGAAUAGUUAGGACUUUAAUUAAUUAAACUAGUUAAGUUGUAUAGAAAUUUCAUUUGACACACUCUUCCAUUUAUUUUGAUCGAAACAGGAGAUUAACUAGUUAUUUAUUUUAUUAAAAUGUGCAAAUAGGAGGCCAAUUUGGUUUCCCAGCCCACGUGUGAAUUCAAGCAGCAAACAAUCAAAUUCACGCCUCUUUGUCCUUUUCCUUAUUAUAAUUGUAGCUGAUUUUGAACUUAUCAAAACCAAUAAACAAUCAGAUUCAUCAAAAUAGAAGAUCAGUCCACGUGUGUAAAGGUCAUGCAACCUCUUUAUCUUUAUCCUUUCCUUAUCUGAUAUAAAACUCGGCAGAAUCCCAUAAGAAAUCACCAAUCAGAAUUUCAAACUAAUUUAUGGGAUCAGAAUUCUAAACUAACUUAUGUGAUGUGCACAGAAAUUUAGAGUUCAAAUCUUAGCAAAAUUCCACUUCCCACGUGAUUACCCUACACCAUGGUUUAGUAUAAAUAUAGCACUAAACCUCAAGCAUUCGGUCAUUAAUUCAUCAUUCUUCUUCUGCACGUCUUUAUUCUCUUCUCCUCUUUAAAAUAUUUCUCCAUAUUAUUAAGCCUUUUUAAGGCCUUGGAAUCGCAAUAAAGAAUCACGUUUUCAGCAAUUUUAUUUUCCACGUUCAUCUUCAAAAGGUAAUAAUUAGUAUGCUGGACGGCGGUGUAUGGAUGCAUAUUGGACCAAUGGAUCUACAUCAUGAAAUCAGUACGGUCAACGUGGAUGGUGGCUGAGCGGUGCGCAGGUUGCCAAGUAAAGAAAAACUUCGCAAGAAAAUGUUUUAAAAUAAUUCUGUUAGGAUUAUGUGCUUCAAUUUAAUUAUGUUUAAUGUUCUAUGUUUACGCGACAUUUUGUUUAUUCAAUUUGGUAUUUGAGUAUUAAAUAAAUCAAGAGUUUUAAAUUUCGAAUUAAAUAUUUUCGCUUUAUGUAUGCGAUACGAAAUGAUAUCGGUAACACCUCAAAUUUUAGGUCGAUAAAAUUUGGGGCGUUACAACAAUGCUUACAAGUUGGACCUUCCAGGUGAGUACAAUGUUUCGACUACUUUUAAUG
Olea europaea var. sylvestris is the source of this 1421-nucleotide long non-coding RNA. RefSeq lists it as uncharacterized. NCBI's taxonomy places the organism in Eukaryota, Viridiplantae, Streptophyta, Magnoliopsida, Lamiales, Oleaceae. The record is from RefSeq and is a predicted model, not a curated record. The transcript has 3 exons.